RNAcentral lists this ribosomal RNA (502 nucleotides) under uncultured bacterium. RNAcentral's name for it is "partial 16S ribosomal RNA". It matches the Rfam family "Bacterial small subunit ribosomal RNA", at positions 28 to 507 of the family's 1533-position model. The record is from RNAcentral.
GAUGAACGCUGGCGGCGUGCCUAACACAUGCAAGUCGAACGAAGCAACUUACAGGAUUCUCCGGUUGCGAUUGCGGUGGCCGGGUGGGUGACGGGUGAGUAACGCGCGUGUAACCCGCGGUGUACAGCGGGAUAACAGCUGGAAUAGGCUGCUAUAACUGCAUAAGCGCACGACGAGAGAUCUCCUCGUGUUAAACACUCCGGUGAGACAGUAUGGGCCCGCGUCGGAUUAGCGAGUAGGCAGGGUCACGGCCUAGCAAGGCAACGAUGCGUAGCUGAUAUGAGAGGAUGAACCGCCACACUGGAAGUGAGACACGGUCCAGACUCCUACGGGAGGAAGCAGUCGGGAAUCUUACGCAAUGGGGGAAAGCGUGAUAUAGCAAAACCGCGUGAGUCAUGAUGGCCUUCGGCUGGUAAAGCGCUGUUGUUGGGCAAGAAAAAAAGCACUAUCAGCCAGGAAGGUAAUGACGGUACCUAACGAAGAAGCACCGGCUAACUACGUG